Molecule: ribosomal RNA, 264 nt
Filed under: Triticum aestivum (bread wheat)
Lineage: Eukaryota; Viridiplantae; Streptophyta; Magnoliopsida; Poales; Poaceae
Description: partial small subunit ribosomal RNA
Source: RNAcentral
AUGAAUGCUGCGGCAAGUCUAGAACCGAGAGCGAAGGCCACCCUGGUUCUCAGAGGGGAAUCGUUCACAGUCAGCUCUGAGUCAGGUACCCUGUCGGAGCAGCUGGCGGCGAUGCGGGAGAAGAGCAUGGUGAUCCUCAAGGGCUACAUAACCAAGCACAACGCUCCGAACGAUGUCCCUGAUGAAUCCAUCGAGGGCUCAUCCGAUGAGGAGGGCGAAGCGCUUGCUAAAAAUCCUCUGAAGAAAUCUAGGAAGCAGAGGUGA